This is a long non-coding RNA of Piliocolobus tephrosceles (Ugandan red Colobus), 718 nucleotides long. RefSeq lists it as uncharacterized. The record is from RefSeq and is a predicted model, not a curated record. NCBI's taxonomy places the organism in Eukaryota, Metazoa, Chordata, Mammalia, Primates, Cercopithecidae. The transcript is spliced from 4 exons.
CAAGUCACGGCAGUUGCCAUGAUAGUUAGAGUUUCAGAAGCCAUUCUGUGACCUGGAGCAUGGAAAGAAAGUGCUAAGUGUUACCACAGUCUCCUAUGGAAUGCAUUGACCUCAUGCUAUUCAAGUCCCAGUGAAUCUACACCAGCACCAGAACUUCAGCGAUGUGCCAGUACCCUACAGCCAGUAGUGAUUGGUGCACGGCAGCCCAUAUCUUGAGAGCUUCAUAAAGAGGACAUUCUAAAGGCAGCAGAUUUCUGGACAAGAGGAACCCAGUCAGAGCCUUUUCCGGAGUAUUAAGUAAUGUAGUAAAGUAAAGAUGACCGCACCUGCUUUGACACUCCUCCCAUUGACAAGCUUUGAAUCCCAGCGACACUCAUUCCACAACAUGCUAACCACAUCCUGGUGAUCCCAGCUUCAGAGAGGAGAACAUGGAGACUUGAGUUCACUGUUGCGGUGAAGUCCUGCUCUGGCCCCAGGCAGGAGAAGUCAAGAUCAAAGCUCACAAUGCAAAUAUUAUUCUGAUUAAAACCAAACUUUCUGCUUUUGAUGUGGGCCAACCUCCAUUGCUGGUAGGAACAAGGGAGGAGUAUAGCAAAAAGACACUGGCAGUAAGUAUAAAACCAGGAUGCACUCAAUUUAAAAGACAGAGAGAGAAAGAAAAAAAAAGAGUGAAGAGGAUGGGGGUAGACAAAGAAAGAAAGAGAAAAAGAAGGAAGCA